RNAcentral lists this ribosomal RNA (951 nucleotides) under Triticum aestivum (bread wheat). RNAcentral describes it as "partial small subunit ribosomal RNA". The record is from RNAcentral. Lineage: Eukaryota; Viridiplantae; Streptophyta; Magnoliopsida; Poales; Poaceae.
AUGCCUAAGUGGGAUAAGUCUGAGAAAGAGAUGGAGGAUGCAGGUGCCACUCCGGUUACUAAGAGCUGGCCCCCCAGGGUCAGGACUUGGUUCUAUGCGCAUGGGGGGGAGUUGGACCCGAAGACAGGCAAUGUUUCGACGAGGGCAAGUCUGAAGGGAGCCGACGAUGCGAUACUUGUUUCAAUAGAAGAGGCACGAUCGGGGGUGUUCCAGCCCAACAGAGAGAACGACGAGCUUACGUGUGCCCUGGGAAAUCCUGAACACCCGGGAAGAACACGAGGCAAGGGCGCUAUUCCGUGGUAUGAGGGGUUUUCAGACUGGAACACCGACUACAGAACCCGUGCGAGAAAGAAGAUUGCGGAGGAGAAGAAGAGGAAGAUGGAGGAGGAGCAGAGGAAGCGGGACUAUGAACGCCGUCAAGGCCUAGAAGCAAGUCAGGCGGAAUUGGUAGUCAAAUUCCAGCGGCAGCAGGAGCAGAUCGACUCACUUACCCAACAAAGGGGGUCUCAGCAGCUGCAGCAGCUAGCGAAUGAUCCAGCAUUGGAUAGCACCGCCCCAUCCAUGCUGAGAAGCAGCGUGGGUUCCGCCUCGGACGAUGCAAUGCUAGGUAGAUACCCCGUGGAUGACAUCACGGAGAACACUAGCUGCGAGCUACACGUCAAAAUGAAGAACAUAUCCAUGAAGGUGGCGGACGCCGUUGCUUUUACAAAUCCCCCCGAGGCAACCUUCCAUUGCAACCCGAUUCCAGUGGGCUAUGCUCGUGUCUUGGUUGAUGAGGUGGUGGACCCAUAUUCGGAGCUAGAGCUUGACAUUCCUGGAGGUGACGACGAGCGCUUUCUCGGAGACGCCAACCAUCGUAUCAUCCUAUGGAAAAAGGAUUGCAUCAUCUUUCGAAGGCCACCGACACCGCAUCAGCCGACUCCUCGUCGAAGUCCGCCACCGAGUCAGUAG